AACCAUUCUCACCUGCGGCUAGACCUGCGGAAGGAUCAUUACCGAGUUAGGGUGUCUGUUCGCAGCGCCCGACCUCCCAACCCUUUGUCUAUGAUACCUAAACAGUUGCUUCGGCGUGCCGAGGGGUCGUACCCUCGCCGGGCCUCACGGCCGGGAGCGCGCACGUCGACGGCCUUUAUCUAACACUUGAAACCCAAAACCUGUCGUCUGAAAACUUGUGAUUAACCAAUAAUCAAAAAC
This 240-nucleotide unclassified non-coding RNA is filed under the name soil metagenome. Its description in RNAcentral is "partial contains 5.8S ribosomal RNA, internal transcribed spacer 2, and large subunit ribosomal RNA". The record is from RNAcentral.